GAAGGAAAGCGCCAAACCGGUCGUGAGGCUGGGACGGAAAACCAAGGGUCUUAGUAGGCAGACGAGCAAAAGGGAUUGCUCGCGAAACAAGGAAUAGUGCCUGGAUAAGAUAGCCGGUUACCCUU
Molecule: non-coding RNA, 125 nt
Filed under: Oceanicoccus sagamiensis
Lineage: Bacteria; Pseudomonadati; Pseudomonadota; Gammaproteobacteria; Cellvibrionales; Spongiibacteraceae
Description: c-di-GMP sequence
Rfam family: c-di-GMP-I riboswitch aptamer
About the family: GEMM was predicted in a large-scale screen for bacterial structured RNA regulatory elements. Genes associated with GEMM are involved in a diverse array of functions, including chemotaxis regulation, signal transduction, secretion and chitin.
Source: Rfam by way of RNAcentral